UUUAUGGUCAGUGUGUGAAAGCAUUCAGUUCGAUUCGGUCGUUCAUCUCAUCUCGUGCUACAAAAAUGAUUUAAAACAAAACAAACACAAAAGUCCUUUUUAGAUUUAAACAGUCUAAAUUUAGUGAAUCGUGAGUUUACUUUACAUUAAGGCGAGGACUUCUUGCAGUGCUGAUUAUCACGAUGGUGAAAUAUUGUUGAGGACUUUCCUUGCAAGCAAAAUGGAGGUCCUUCGAUGCGCCUUUUAGAUGUUCAUCGAAUAUGAAAGGACACGGCCGGCUCUGUCCUGAUUGAGGACUUUCCUUGCAAGCAAAAUGGUAGAUGUUCACCGAAUAUUAAAGGACAGGGCCGGCUCUGCUGAUUAUCGGGAUAUUGAGGACUUUCCUUGCAAGCAAAAUGGAGGUCCUUCGAUGCGCCUUUUAGAUGUUCACCGAAUAUUAAAGGACACGGCCGGCUCUGUCCUGAUUGAGGACUUUCCUUGCAAGCGAAAUGGUAGAUGUUCACCGAAUAUUAAAGGACAGGGCCGGCUCUGUUAUCAUCAGGAUGUUGAGGACUUUCCUUGCAAGCAAAAUGGUGGUUCCUCGAUGCGCCUUUUGGAUGUUCACCGAAUAUUAAAGGACACGGCCGGCUCUGUCCUGAUUGAGGACUUUCCUUGCAAGCGAAAUUGUAGAUGUUCACCGAAUAUUAAAGGACAGGGCCGGCUCUGCUGAUUAUCGGGAUAUUGAGGACUUUCCUUGCAAGCAAAAUGGAGGUCCUUCGAUGCGCCUUUUAGAUGUUCACCGAAUAUUAAAGGACACGGCCGGCUCUGUCCUGAUUGAGGACUUUCCUUGCAAGCAAAAUGAUAGAUGUUCACCGAAUAUUAAAGGACAGGGCCGGCUCUGCUUAUCAGGAUAUUGAGGACCUUCCUUGCAAGCAAAAUGGUAUAUGUUCACCGAAUAUUAAAGGACACGGUGGGCUCUGGAUUUAAAUUGAAGUUGGGUUACCAAUCCAAAGAAAAAUCAAUGACGGCGAAGUUGCUGAAAGAGGAAAGGGUUCUGUGUCGGCGCCAUAGCGCAAGUAGCUCCUGACAUGCGAUUGAAGCAGCAGUUGGUAUACGCUUGAUAUCGAAAUCAUAUUUAAAUAUUUUUCGAAGAUAUUUUUUUUAGAGAUUGGUUGAAAACGUGGAAGAAUUUUUACAGUAAGUCCAGCGAUGUAGUCAAUUAACCUCACUUGGAUGUUAAGGAAGAAGCGUCUAACCAGCGGGAUAUACGAACCUUGAAGCUGGAGUAGCUGAGUCACAGAAAUUCAUUGUGUGGCAUCUUGAUUGAUCGUCCAAACAUUUUCUCCAAGGAUCGAAAAGCAAUAGAAGCAAAAUGAGUAAAAACUUGCGGAUGCGUUCAACCUCAAGAUUGUGGUAAAUUGGAACGUCGCGUUUUCAUACUUCAAAGAUGUCAUACCAAAGAUUUGUUACCGUAUGAUAAUCGCAUUUCAGUAGCUACUGACGCUCUGGCGCCGAAGCGGUUACCCUAUCCGGUUUCGACGACUUCGCCUUCAUUACUCGUCUGCCUACAAAUUUUGAUUCGAAAGAGAUGAAACAUGGAUGGCUGGAUGGCUCUACUUUUGGGAACUAUCAUUACUUGGAAUGCGUGAUAAUCAACUGAGAAUUCCUCGCCGUCGUAGGGGAAAAAGCAAAUUCUACGCUGUAUUCGGCGAAUGCGGCGUGUGAUUUGUUUGUACGUUACGUAAUUUCCAUUGACACUAGAUGAGAAACGACCGAAAUAAAUGUAUCAUUUAAUAUA
This is a long non-coding RNA of Drosophila willistoni, 1777 nucleotides long. RefSeq lists it as uncharacterized. The transcript has 4 exons. The record is from RefSeq and is a predicted model, not a curated record. NCBI's taxonomy places the organism in Eukaryota, Metazoa, Arthropoda, Insecta, Diptera, Drosophilidae.